AGGACGAACGCUGGCGGCGUGCUUAACACAUGCAAGUCGAACGGAAAGGCCCUUCGGGGUACUCGAGUGGCGAACGGGUGAGUAACACGUGAGCAAUCUGCCCCUAGCUCUGGGAUAGCUCCGGGAAAACCGGGAUUAAUACCAGAUACGACCACUUUAGACAUCUGUCGUGGUGGAAAGGAUUCCGGCUAGGGAUGGGCUCGCGGCCUAUCAGCUUGUUGGUGGGGUAACGGCCUACCAAGGCGACGACGGGUA
Molecule: ribosomal RNA, 255 nt
Filed under: uncultured bacterium
Lineage: Bacteria
Description: partial small subunit ribosomal RNA
Rfam family: Bacterial small subunit ribosomal RNA
Source: RNAcentral